RNAcentral lists this transfer RNA (74 nucleotides) under Candidatus Zhuqueibacterota bacterium. RNAcentral describes it as "candidate division KSB1 bacterium tRNA-His". It matches the Rfam family "tRNA". From Rfam's summary of the family: Transfer RNA (tRNA) molecules are approximately 80 nucleotides in length. Their secondary structure includes four short double-helical elements and three loops (D, anti-codon, and T loops). Lineage: Bacteria; Pseudomonadati. The record is from RNAcentral.
GAGGGUAUAGUUCAGACGGUUAGAACGCCAGGUUGUGGCCCUGGAGGUCAUGGGUUCAAGUCCCAUUACCCUCC